CGCGGCCUAUCAGCUUGUUGGUGGGGUGAUGGCCUACCAAGGCGACGACGGGUAGCCGGCCUGAGAGGGUGUCCGGCCACACUGGGACUGAGAUACGGCCCAGACUCCUACGGGAGGCAGCAGUGGGGAAUAUUGCACAAUGGGCGGAAGCCUGACGCAGCGACGCCGCGUGAGGGAUGACGGCCUUCGGGUUGUAAACCUCUUUCGGCAGGGACGAAUGUAGACGGUACCUGUAGAAGAAGCACCGGCCAACUACGUGCCAGCAGCCGCGGUAAUACGUAGGGUGCGAGCGUUGUCCGGAAUUAUUGGGCGUAAAGAGCUCGUAGGCGGUCUGUCGCGUCGAAUGUGAAAACCCGGGGCUCAACUCCGGGCUUGCAUUCGACACGGGCAGGCUAGAGUUCGGUAGGGGAGUCUGGAAUUCCUGGUGUAGCGGUGAAAUGCGCAGAUAUCAGGAGGAACACCGGUGGCGAAGGCAGGUCUCUGGGCCAUAACUGACGCUGAGGAGCGAAAGCGUGGGGAGCGAACAGGAUUAGAUACCCUGGUAGUCCACGCCGUAAACGGUGGGCGCUAGGUGUGGGGAUUGUUUCCACGAUCUCCGUGCCGUAGCUAACGCAUUAAGCGCCCCGCCUGGGGAGUACGGA
Molecule: ribosomal RNA, 641 nt
Filed under: uncultured Actinomycetes bacterium
Lineage: Bacteria; Bacillati; Actinomycetota; Actinomycetes
Description: bacterial SSU rRNA
Rfam family: Bacterial small subunit ribosomal RNA
Source: RNAcentral